RNAcentral lists this long non-coding RNA (1606 nucleotides) under Solanum tuberosum (potato). RNAcentral describes it as "long non-coding RNA (STUB_LNC003663)". The record is from RNAcentral. Lineage: Eukaryota; Viridiplantae; Streptophyta; Magnoliopsida; Solanales; Solanaceae.
UUAGGGAUUAAUUUUACGAUUUUUAGUGUUAAGAAUUUUUUUGAGUGUUCAUAUUUUUCUGGAAAAAGCUCCACCGGAGCUCCGACCAAGUCCACCACCAAAACCCACAAACCCUUUUUUUUUCGGAAAACCAGUCCACCACCAAACAAUUUUCACCCCUCGUCUCUUCCUUUUUGCGUGGCUAGCAACAAUGAACAACCAAACACACCCUCCUCCCUCAUGCCAAAUCUGGUAAAAAAACAGUGAGAUCCAAAAACCACAAGGCCAUCAGCCAGCAAACAACCGCCUCAAUCACUCUCUUUCCUCCAUCAAAAACCACCAAAAUCCCAUCGUUUUUCUCCUUUUUCCAGUGAAAAUGUCACCGGAAACGACCCCAAGACCUCAGACCACCACCGAAAUCAGACCCGGCGAGCACCCUCAUCGCAAGCGAGCUCGAGAAUCAACAAAACCAGAAAGUUUCGACACCAACACCACCUCUAGCAAACAAGUAAUCUAUAUUUUAGUUUUUUACUAUAGCUAUUUUGUUUCGUUAUUUUUCAGAUAUGGCCGGAGGAGUUCAAACUGUGGCCAAUGUUAUUUUCAUUUUUCUUUGAUAAAGUUUGUCUUCUCUGAUUGACUGUGUUGACAUUUUAAAUUGUGUUAUUUCGCUUUGAUUGUUUAUUCACAAUGUAUUGAUUUGAUGUUUGUUUUGACUUUAACAAUGGUUAUACUUCGAAUUGUUUAUUUAAAUUAAAAUGUUUAGCGGCUAAGAAAAUUUUCAACUGUGAUAUCAUUCUUAAUUUAUUGAUGUGUCAUUAUGAUAAUUGUUAUUGAUUACAUUUCAUAUUGUUUCAUAUAGCUCUUUUAAUUUGUCAGGUCACAUUUCUUAUAGUUUAUAGUUUCUAUUAUUUUUGUCCACCGUUUUUACUUACUUAUUGGUCUACUAAACUUUUAAUUCUCAAAUAAGUUCUUGGUUGAUUCCCUCGUUAUGUAUUUGACUGUUUCUUAUCAUGUUUUGGUUAACUCUAUUUUUAAAUAUUCCUUAAAAUAGUUUUGUUCUUCUUUUUGUUGUUGUCACAAUUAACCUUAAAUACAAUUAAAAUUAGCCAAUGAGAAAAUCUCUAUGUCGGUUUUGGAGGUCUUCCCUAUGUUAAAAGACAGAAAUUUAGUUUAUGUUUAUAUUUUGUUUGUUAAUAUUGGCCGAUGAAGAAAUUACCGUCGAUUUCCAAGGCGUCCAAUGUUAAUAAGACGGGUUUUUAUUUUUAAACUAUUAUUUGAGUUAUUCAUUUUUUUUCAUAUUUAUUUAUUACUAACACUUUUAUUAAGUGUCUUUACAGGUACCCGGAGUUGCUUUUCAAGGAAGCUAUUCGAAAAAGUUUGAAGAAUAUUUUAUUCAUUGUUGUAUAUAUUAUCAGCAUCAGGCAAAUUUAGGCCAUUUAUUAUAUUAUUGUCUUACUUUAUUAUUUAUUUGUAUUCAUGUCUAUUAUAUAUGUACAUUAUAUUUUGUCUCCGCAAUUUGAAAAAAUGAAUUCAGUCGGGGUCCACCAUUGUGGAUUUCGAAGGAUGCCUAACACCUUUCCUUCGGAAUAACUUGAACCCCUUACCUAGAAUCUAUUGGUUUCGUAGA